GUUAAUGUAGCUUAAAAUCCAAAGCAAAGCACUGAAAAUGCUUAGAUGGACACUACUGUCCCAUAAACA
Molecule: transfer RNA, 69 nt
Filed under: Meriones tamariscinus (Tamarisk jird)
Lineage: Eukaryota; Metazoa; Chordata; Mammalia; Rodentia; Muridae
Description: tRNA-Phe
Rfam family: tRNA
About the family: Transfer RNA (tRNA) molecules are approximately 80 nucleotides in length. Their secondary structure includes four short double-helical elements and three loops (D, anti-codon, and T loops).
Source: RNAcentral